Molecule: ribosomal RNA, 512 nt
Filed under: uncultured bacterium
Lineage: Bacteria
Description: bacterial SSU rRNA
Rfam family: Bacterial small subunit ribosomal RNA
Source: RNAcentral
AACGAACGUUGGCGGCGUGGGUUAGGCAUGCAAGUCGUACGCGAAGGAGGGGGCAACUCCUCGAGUAAAGUGGCGAACGGGUGAGUAACGCGUAGGAAACCUGCCUUCGAGAUGGGGAUAACACUCCUAACGGGGUGCUAAUACCGAAUGACACUGCGGGAUCGCAUGGUUCUGCAGUCAAAGGUGGCCUCUGCUUGCAAGCUACCACUCAAAGAUGGUCCUGCGUCCCAUUAGCUAGUUGGCGGGGUAACGGCCCACCAAGGCGACGAUGGGUAGCCGAUCUGAGAGGAUGACCGGCACACUGGGACUGAGAUACGGCCCAGACUCCUACGGGAGGCAGCAGUCGAGAGCUUCGGCAAUGGGGAAACCCUGACCGAGCGACGCCGCGUGGAGGAUGAAGGCCUUUGGGUUGUAAACUCCUGUCAUGUGGAAGAAACGCCACCGUUCUAAUAGGACGGUGGUUUGACGGUACCACAAGAGGAAGCUCCGGCUAACUCCGUGCCAGCCGCCGC